Molecule: long non-coding RNA, 587 nt
Organism: Alexandromys fortis (reed vole)
Lineage: Eukaryota; Metazoa; Chordata; Mammalia; Rodentia; Cricetidae
Exons: 4
Source: RefSeq, a predicted model, not a curated record
GGUCCUUCCGCCCCUCCAACCAAUAGCUGCUGUGAUACCAGCCCAUUGGGGCGUGGUCUCUCUCCCUUUAAAAAAGCGGCUAUUUCCUCUGCUCGCUCUCUUCACUUCCUGCUCCGCCGGAGACUAGACUCCCUUCCUGGUUGUGCAGAUGGCUGUUGUCUGGGACGGUGAUCUGGAUGACGUAAUACGUGACACUAUUCCUGAGGAGAUUUCAACAAACAUCUACUCACCUCAGAUAAACAACUAAGACAGAGCAAAUCAAGGAUAUCACCAAAUCCAACUUGAACUGUUUGGUUUGUUCUUUAGUUGGAUCUGAAACGCUACAUAGAUCCAUGUAUGGAAAGAAGUUAGACCCCAGUUUGGGAACUGCUGGAAGAUGGUGGAGACCUAGAGAAACUGAGUCAUCACAAAUGAAGAACCUUCAUCUGGAGAUGGAUGGAGAUAGAGACAGAGACCCACACUGGAGCACUGGACUGAGCUCCCAAUGUCCCAAGGAGGAGCAGAAGGAGGGAAAAUAUGAGCAAAGAAGUCAGGACCACGAGGGGUGCAUCCACCCAUGGAGACAGUGGGGCUGAUCUAUUGUGAGC